This is a non-coding RNA of Procambarus clarkii (red swamp crayfish), 619 nucleotides long. Lineage: Eukaryota; Metazoa; Arthropoda; Malacostraca; Decapoda; Cambaridae. The record is from RefSeq and is a predicted model, not a curated record.
CCCCUAGAAGUCCUGUGAAAGGGUCGUAUAGGUGUGGUAGUGUUAGGGGUCUGAUGCGCCCCGUGCUGGAACCCAGUUGAUGUUAAUGGGUCGCUGGGGCCCAACAGACCCUAGGGUACACUCAGUCCAUUUAUACACCCUCAUAACUAGAUAUCUAGGUGGCAAAAUUAAAUUAUAUAUUUUUAAUUUGUAUACCCUAGGUGUUCUUGAGGGUAUAUACGCAGACUAUUUUAGUCUACUAAUAAUCAGUACUAAAAUAGCUUUUUAUGAUUGAUCAACUAGUCAUUAAUAACCAAUAUUUCAGGAUUGUUGACUGCUGCUGCCGCCACAAGCGUCAGGUCGUAGGUAUUGGGGAACAUGAAAUGACGUGCCUUACGACUAGCAACUCCAGCAGACGUGACUUAUGAUGGAAACAGUGGAAUCAUCGGUGAAACCCUUGUUAGCCGUGUGGACGUGCCGACCAGGAGUGGAAGAGUACUUUCAUCGUAAAAAGAUGACUAAUGUAACAGUGGAAUGAUCAUGGUGCAGGUAAUACCCGAGUGAUGCUCGUUGAGCAGGCCUCGCCUGCACUCAACGGCCGCAUAACGUUUCAUCAGUUGUAGUCGUGAACACGGAUCGA